UUUUUUUCCAAGUUUAAUUUUGUUUUUUAAGUUUGUCUCUUAUUUUAUUUUUUUGUCACUUUUGUCGCCCUAGUGUUGCCUUCCUUCUUUCAACUCUGUUUCUUUUUCAAAGUUUUUAUUAAUAUUUCUGACCUAUUCUUGCCAUACUUCCUUCUUUCUACCACCUCUUUCCAAGGU
Long non-coding RNA from Etheostoma spectabile (orangethroat darter), 177 nucleotides. RefSeq lists it as uncharacterized. The record is from RefSeq and is a predicted model, not a curated record. The transcript is spliced from 3 exons. Lineage: Eukaryota; Metazoa; Chordata; Actinopteri; Perciformes; Percidae.